Anguilla rostrata (American eel) is the source of this 679-nucleotide long non-coding RNA. RefSeq lists it as uncharacterized. The transcript has 3 exons. Lineage: Eukaryota; Metazoa; Chordata; Actinopteri; Anguilliformes; Anguillidae. The record is from RefSeq and is a predicted model, not a curated record.
GCAGGAAGCGGAAAUUUCUCCCCAGAGGAACACAAUCGAGAAGCUACGCUUCUUAUUAAAGAGGUACACAUCGCUAUGUCUUCGUCUUGGGAGUGUGUGUGUGUGCGUGUGUGAAAGAGAGAGUUGUCGUUGUGUGUGUAUCUUUGCGGCUGAAGACACAGCCGUCUCGAGAAAGUCGAUGGCAGGAGCCUACGGAGAGAGAGGGACCGAGAAGCGCUCAGCCAUAUCUGCCGCUUCGUCGCAGUGGAAAACUACUGUCAUCCAUGGAUCUCAGUGCGACAGGCCUACAAUACGCAGGGAAUGUGUAUUGCUAUGAACUACAUGCCCUCUUCAAACAGAGUAAAUGCAAUCUGUUUGGAGAAGUGUGUUGGAACCAGGGACUCAACCUCAGAGGUACUGACUGACUUGUCAAACAAAUGCGGAUAUGAAACCAGGAGCAGCACAUGCAAUUAAGCCUCAUGUUCCACAGAUGCAAAAAAGGUGAGAAUUAAAUGGAAGUGUCACGUACAAAAUACAAAACAAGCAAGCAAGAUUUAUUGCUCUUGCCAAAGUCAACGGUGCUUGAAAUAAGGGUUAGAGCAAAUUAGAACUGUUUUCGACAAAAACAAUGUAACAAGGUCACUAAAAAAGGAGAUGCAUCAUUCAGAUGCUAAAAAACCUUAAUGAGAUCCUGAUUAUU